ACGAAACUUGCCCCGAGAUGAGUUCUCCCUGAGACUAUAAGUCUCCUGAAGGAACGUUAAAGACGAUGACGUUGAUAGGCCGGGUGUGUAAGCGCAGCGAUGCGUUGAGCUAACCGGUACUAAUGAACCGUGAGGCUUAACCUUACAACGCCGAAG
This 156-nucleotide ribosomal RNA is filed under the name Klebsiella pneumoniae. RNAcentral describes it as "partial 23S ribosomal RNA". It matches the Rfam family "Bacterial large subunit ribosomal RNA", at positions 2787 to 2925 of the family's 2925-position model. Lineage: Bacteria; Pseudomonadati; Pseudomonadota; Gammaproteobacteria; Enterobacterales; Enterobacteriaceae. The record is from RNAcentral.